AAAAGGUGGCUAUACUACCGCUUUUGGAUGGGCCCGCGGCGCAUUAGCUAGUUGGUAGGGUAAAGGCUUACCAAGGCAAUGAUGCGUAGCCGAAUUGAGAGGUUGAUCGGCCACAUUGGGACUGAGACACGGCCCAAACUCCUACGGGAGGCAGCAGUAGGGAAUCUUCCACAAUGGGCGAAAGCCUGAUGGAGCAACGCCGCGUGGGUGAAGAAGGUCUUCGGAUCGUAAAACCCUGUUGUUAGAGAAGAAAGUGCGUGAGAGUAACUGUUCACGUUUCGACGGUAUCUAACCAGAAAGCCACGGCUAACUACGUGCCAGCAGCCGCGGUAAUACGUAGGUGGCAAGCGUUAUCCGGAUUUAUUGGGCGUAAAGGGAACGCAGGCGGUCUUUUAAGUCUGAUGUGAAAGCCUUCGGCUUAACCGGAGUAGUGCAUUGGAAACUGGGAGACUUGAGUGCAGAAGAGGAGAGUGGAGCUCCAUGUGUAGCGGUGAAAUGCGUAGAUAUAUGGAAGAACACCAGUGGCGAAAGCGGCUCUCUGGUCUGUAACUGACGCUGAGGUUCGAAAGCGUGGGUAGCAAACAGGAUUAGAUACCCUGGUAGUCCACGCCGUAAACGAUGAAUGCUAAGUGUUGGAGGGUUUCCGCCCUUCA
RNAcentral lists this ribosomal RNA (653 nucleotides) under uncultured bacterium. Its description in RNAcentral is "bacterial SSU rRNA". It matches the Rfam family "Bacterial small subunit ribosomal RNA", at positions 202 to 842 of the family's 1533-position model. The record is from RNAcentral.